UCAAGAGUAACCCCACUAGUAAAAUAGUGGGGUUAACCUCCCGUCCUUUGCUUUUAACCCUCUAUUUUUUAGAGGGGGCAUUUAAUAUCUGCUUCGGUGGGGUUUACCCACCGGAACAACCUCAAAAAUUCUUUUAAAAAUCAUUCAGUCCGAGAAUUUUUUAAAUUGACAGA
Molecule: unclassified non-coding RNA, 173 nt
Filed under: uncultured fungus
Lineage: Eukaryota; Fungi
Description: sequence contains ITS1
Source: RNAcentral